RNAcentral lists this ribosomal RNA (253 nucleotides) under uncultured bacterium. RNAcentral describes it as "partial 16S ribosomal RNA". It matches the Rfam family "Bacterial small subunit ribosomal RNA", at positions 524 to 776 of the family's 1533-position model. The record is from RNAcentral.
UACGUAGGGGGCAAGCGUUGUCCGGAAUCAUUGGGCGUAAAGGGCGCGUAGGCGGCUUGGCAAGUGGAUGGUGAAAUCCCUCGGCUUAACCGAGGAACUGCCAUCCAGACUGCUUUGCUUGAGGCCGGGAGAGGUGAGUGGAAUUCCCAGUGUAGCGGUGAAAUGCGUAGAUAUUGGGAGGAACACCAGUGGCGAAGGCGGCUCACUGGACCGGUUCUGACGCUGAGGCGCGAAAGCGUGGGGAGCAAACGGG